Molecule: long non-coding RNA, 482 nt
Filed under: Monodelphis domestica (gray short-tailed opossum)
Lineage: Eukaryota; Metazoa; Chordata; Mammalia; Didelphimorphia; Didelphidae
Description: lncRNA (ENSMODG00000034362.2)
Source: RNAcentral
GAUUACAUCUUUUCCAAAAGGCAAACUAAGAUUUAAGUAUGUGAAAUUGACCUAAAAAAAUAAUUUGAAGUCUCCUCCACUCUUUGUUUGCAGUCCCAACAAGACAGAGGACAAGUGCUAUGGAACAAGAGUUUAUCAUCCCUAGAAGUGUUUGAGUGGAAUUUGAAAGACAAUUCAUUGAGGAUGCCAUAGAUAAAAUUCACUCUUCUGUGAGGGGUUUGGACUAGAUUACAGAUCAGAUAUCACAUCUUCAAGGAAUUCUCCCAUCUAUCCUCCCAACAGCUAGGUAACAUCUUCCCCUCCUUGAAUUUACUUUUUUUGAAUAUAUAUUUCAUACUUACCUCCAACUUCCUUGUAUCAUCAAGAUUUGUGCUAUUUCCCUUCCACUUAGAAUGUCAGUUCUUUGAGAGUAUUGCCAGUUUUGUACUCCAAUUACCUAUCACAGGGCUUUUUACAGAAUUCAAUUCUGCAAGAAUUCCUAG